UUAUUUAUUUUUGCUUUUACAUUCUUACUAAUUUGACUUCCUUCCUUAUUCUCUCUGUUGCUUGGAUACCUCUAUACUCAUCGGAUCAAACGUUCGAAGCCAAUUCAGUAAGCCACUAACUUUCACAAGGGAAAGAAGAAAAUUGACAAGAAUUUUCUUUGUUCUGAUUUUUAGGUUUUUUGAAUAACUACGGAUCAUAACAAGCAUGGUAUGACAUGUUUUCCCAAAUUCCGAGGACACUAAAAGCUACAUGGUCAGGGGCGGAUCUAUGUAUAUGGUUCAGGAUAUUUUUUCACCCUUCUGCUUCACGAUGUUUUGCACUUCUUCUGCUUCACCUCUGCUGCUUCCAGCUUGCUCACUGGUUACUGCUCUACAGCCACCAUUGUAAAGCUUUCUCACUUCCUCUUGUUUAUUUUUUAACCCUAUGUGGGUUGUGGUUAUAUUUUUUUACCAUUAAAUAU
Non-coding RNA from Nicotiana tabacum (common tobacco), 461 nucleotides. NCBI's taxonomy places the organism in Eukaryota, Viridiplantae, Streptophyta, Magnoliopsida, Solanales, Solanaceae. The record is from RefSeq and is a predicted model, not a curated record.